Molecule: ribosomal RNA, 215 nt
Filed under: uncultured bacterium
Lineage: Bacteria
Description: partial 16S ribosomal RNA
Rfam family: Bacterial small subunit ribosomal RNA
Source: RNAcentral
UACGGAGGGUGCAAGCGUUAAUCGGAAUUACUGGGCGUAAAGCGCACGCAGGCGGUCUGUUAAGUCAGAUGUGAAAUCCCCGGGCGUUAACCUGGGAACGUGCAUUUGUAAACUAGGCAGGCUUGAGUCUCGUAGAGGGGGUAGGAAUUCCAGGUGUAGCGGUGAAAUGCGUAGAGAUCUGGAGGAAUACCGGUGGCGAAGGCGGCCCCCUCGGA